Molecule: long non-coding RNA, 469 nt
Organism: Lutra lutra (Eurasian river otter)
Lineage: Eukaryota; Metazoa; Chordata; Mammalia; Carnivora; Mustelidae
Exons: 4
Source: RefSeq, a predicted model, not a curated record
AUGAUUUGAAACAGUUUAUACAUCUAACAGAAUAAUCAUGCAAUGUAAACAAGUAAAGAGAUAGGACAAAGAAAAACUGAGGUGAAAAUUUGACAGCUCAAAAUGAAGCAAAAACUCAAGAUAAAACAGACACCAUUUUGUGCCCACUCAGUCUUCUUUCCAGGGUCAUACAUGUUGCAACAGAAAUUGAAACCAGAAAAUUCUCACAGAACAGAUGCCCUUGCAAUUGAAAAGCACUCCCUCUAAUAAUGCUUGGCAUAAUUUUUGUUAGACCUUCUCCACUGACUGGGCUCUGACAAUUCAGUGUGAUUUGCACCAUCUGGGAGUCACUCCCUCUACACUACACAUUUGAUCCACACACCCUACGCUGGACUACCACAGCCCCCAAAUCGACUCUUCACCCUUGGACCUCCCUAAUGGCUUUUGGACUGAACUUUUUAUGAAGGGAAAUGAAAGAAAAAAAAGGAAA